CUACGCUUUCAUUAAUAAAAAUGGCCGUCACGCCACGCCACGCCCCUUUCACGUUGUGCCUCAUUCAUUAUUUCAGCUUAAUAUUCCCCAUGUGCCCCCUUUAUUAUAAGGGAUUUAUGUAUUUAUCCCUUGUGAUACGUAAGUAUGUGAAAAAAGGAAGGAAAAUUCUCUCUCUCGAGAGAGAGAGAGAGCAGAAGGAGCAUCAUUACCACCCCCCAAGAAGAAGACAAAGAAAGAGUCUUUUUGGGGUACCUACAACACGGUUCCUGAAGCUUAAAUCGACACAACCCCUAGGAGGCUUCUUUUUGUAGACCUCGAGGAGCUCUACAAAAUCGAGUCUACAAUUUUUUUUAUGGAAGCUCAAUAAGGACUAAGGGGGCCCUAUUAGGGCUGAACCAGUAGAUUUGGAGAAGGAGAAGCAUUAAAACCAGGGCCAACGGAAGUGAAAUUGAGAUAUCCCAUAUUGGGAUCUGCUCGGGUGAUGCAAAGAGAGCGGGGAGACUUAUGUUGCUGGAGCCCCAUUGGCUGCUUUUUAGGGGAUGGAAUGGGGGAACCGGAAGCCCCUUUUUAGGAGCUGACCGAGAAGAAGAAAAGGAACCCUGAACAGUUGCCAACCUGACCACCAGAUGGAGUUUUCUUUAUUUUAAAUUGGAAUAAAUGACGAGAGACGAAAAAAAGGAGGAGUUUCUACAGGAGAGGGUCGACAAGAAGUACGAUUAAUGCGUGUGAGAGAGAGAGAGAGAGAUCGACCUGGAGCGGAAACAAAAGAAGAUCGGCCAUUUUGGAAAAGAAACUCCGGGAGUAAAUGGAAGGAGGAGGAGGGGGGGAGGAGCUGAUAUCCCGCUGGUUACUGGAUGCAAUUGAACAUUUGGCACCUCUUUGAGUGGAGGAGACAUGAAGGUACCACAGGAGACAAAAGAGCAGAGCAACUGCUCCAGAUCGUAAAGAAAAGUUGUGUGAGAUUAUAAAUAAAUUUGUUUAUUCAUUA
Molecule: long non-coding RNA, 988 nt
Organism: Anthonomus grandis grandis
Lineage: Eukaryota; Metazoa; Arthropoda; Insecta; Coleoptera; Curculionidae
Exons: 5
Source: RefSeq, a predicted model, not a curated record